This 321-nucleotide ribosomal RNA is filed under the name uncultured Oscillospiraceae bacterium. Its description in RNAcentral is "bacterial SSU rRNA". It matches the Rfam family "Bacterial small subunit ribosomal RNA", at positions 355 to 687 of the family's 1533-position model. Lineage: Bacteria; Bacillati; Bacillota; Clostridia; Eubacteriales; Oscillospiraceae. The record is from RNAcentral.
UGGGGAAUAUUGGGCAAUGGGGGGAAACCCUGACCCAGCAACGCCGCGUGAAGGAAGAAGGCUUUCGGGUUGUAAACUUCUUUUACCAGGGACGAAGAGAGUGACGGUACCUGGAGAAAAAGCCACGGCUAACUACGUGCCAGCAGCCGCGGUAAUACGUAGGUGGCAAGCGUUGUCCGGAUUUACUGGGUGUAAAGGGCGUGUAGGCGGAGAUUCAAGUCAGGAGUGAAAUCUAUGGGCUUAACCCAUAAAACUGCUUUUGAAACUGAAUCCCUUGAGUAUCGGAGAGGCAGGCGGAAUUCCUAGUGUAGCGGUGAAAAU